RNAcentral lists this long non-coding RNA (1529 nucleotides) under Lathyrus oleraceus (garden pea). RNAcentral describes it as "Pisum sativum (pea) long non-coding RNA (PSAT_LNC000352)". Lineage: Eukaryota; Viridiplantae; Streptophyta; Magnoliopsida; Fabales; Fabaceae. The record is from RNAcentral.
GCAGUAUAAAUUCAUAUUUUGACUUUUUCGAUAUAUAAAUUGUAAUGCAUAUGAAGAUUUAGACAUACAUUAUUUUUUUAUUAACAAAAGAUAUCAGAAGAUGUUGAAAUGCAAUCAGUUAUGUCAAAUAAGUUAUGCACUUCUGAAAUACCGUUGAAAUACUACAUUGGCAUGAAUGUUAAGAAAGAUGAACCUUAUUAGGAAAAAAAAAAGACAAUUCACUUUCUAACAUAAAACUAAAUUAAGUAUUUGAGCUUGAACAAACUGACUCAAGGACAUGCAUUUGGACUUAUGAACAAACUUCUCAACCGGGAUAUACUGUGAUGCUCCGGACCAAUUAGACAAAGAUCUUGAUGAUUGAGUGGGCUUUUGAGUCUGUUCGUUUGUAGGUAACCUAUAACAUUUAGCAAAAUAUAUUGGUAUAUAUGAACUUACAUAAAUAAAAUUUAGUAUUUUGGAAUGGGUUAAUACGAUAAAUGUAUUACUUAGACAAAAAUUCUUUAAUAUCUGGAAUAUCUUCAUUAAUCAACGGUUUAGAACCGCUGCAUCCAUGUGAAACUAUAAACAAUAAAAAACAUUAUGGUAUCAGUGCAAUGAUCGAUGGCUUCAAUUACGUGUGGCAAAAAUCAGACAUAAGAUACCUUGACAAUCCUUUAUCAUUGCAUGCGUGAGAACAAUUGCAAUAGCACCCUUGUUAUUCUCAUCAUUGUAGUAAUUCAAAAACAUAGAUCCAUAGCUUUCCCAUAAGGUGCUUUUAAUAAGAUUACCAAUGUCAUUGAGUCAUGAUAAUAGCAUAUUCAAUGUUGGUUUAUUGGAUAUGGAUUAUAAAAAAACUUACAGACAAAAUACGCAUAAUUCUAAAAGAAAUUAAUUACCGCUGCAUCCAUUAAAAGCAUAUUCAUAUGCCCAAUCCCCUUACUGUUGAUCACACUCCAUGCAUCAAAUAAUUCGAACAUCAGACCGUCAUGUUUCUUUUGAGUCGUUGAUGUCUUUUACGAAAUCUAAUUUUCGACUCAUUAUCACUACAACAAAAAUACAAUUAGGAUACAUUAACUGUGCUGAACAUUAAUACAUUACAAUCAAAACGCACAAAUAUAUUUAUCAAAAUAGAUAAUCAAUUUAGCAUAAUGCAAUAAAAUAUGAAGAAGAUGAAAUUUUAAAAAAAAAUAUAUGGAUUUGUAUAAGAUGAUCAAUGCAAACAACAAUAGAAAAGAAUAAUAAAAGUAUCCAUAAACACCGAAUGAAUACAAAAUCAAUGAAAAUGAUAAGAACCUGGAUUUGCAGAUAAAUUGUAAAAUGGUGAAAGAGGGAAUGUUGCUACUGUUGAUUGUAAAUGAAAUUGAAGAGGCAAUAAAGAGAAAUCGUUUUUCAGAGAAGUUGUUUAGGAAAAGAAAAAGUUGUUAUUAGAAACUCAAUGAAUAACUCAGAUGAAAUUGAAGAGGCAAUGAAAAUAUGAUUAAAGAUUCUAUUCCCAAUAUAAGUUGAUAAGAUUUGUAUGUUGGAAGCAACAAAUUGCUAGAAAAGUAAAA